Neopsephotus bourkii (Bourke's parrot) is the source of this 5045-nucleotide RNA transcript. It is a transcript of the gene named glutamate rich 1, with no coding region annotated. The transcript is spliced from 8 exons. NCBI's taxonomy places the organism in Eukaryota, Metazoa, Chordata, Aves, Psittaciformes, Psittacidae. The record is from RefSeq and is a predicted model, not a curated record.
AGGGGCCAUGUCCCUGAGCAGGAGGGAAGUGUUCAUAGGUAAAGUACUGAAAAGACUCUAUGCUGAAACGUCACCAUCUUCUCUUGUGCAUACUUUGAGUGGAAAAGAGGAGGUAGUUCUUGGAAAUCUGGGCUCAGAAUCCAGUGUUCAGACUUCAGCAGAUGCUAGCACAUCAACUGAUACAUCCUGCAAAUCAGUUCAAGGUAGUGACAAUACAGUUGUGCCUCCAAAGAGAAUGUACACAGUGAAUCUUCCUCCGGAGGGUUACGUUGCAGAUACUCCAGAUGCCGCUAGAAUUUCAGCCUCUGCAACCUCAGGGAGUAGUUCUGACUCAACAGAGGAGGAAUAUCAAGGACAAACCAAGAGAAAGCGCAUUCGAAGGAAGAAAAAAAAGAGCAGCUUACAAAACUCUAAUAAUUUACAUGGAGAACAAACAGAUUCUGGAAUGCAAGAGACUCCUGUUCAAGAUAAUUUACAGCUGCAGCAGACAGACAGUCCCAAAAUAAGCAAAAACAAAAAGAGGAAAAUGAAAAAGAAGAGACAGAAAGAAAAAAUGAGAGCAGCUGGCUUGGUAACAAAAACUACUGGUGUGGAUUUUACGUAUCAGCCAGACAAAAACAACAGAGAAGAAGCAGCAGGCUUAAAAGACAUAGUUGAAAAGACAGAUAGCAUUCUGGACUUCCUGCAGGCAACACAACAAAUUUAUUUUGCUGACAGUAAAUCAAGAUGCACAGAUUCUGCUGUAAAUGCAGCAGCUGCCCAAGAGCUUUUGCAGUAUCUUGAAUCUCGCACCAUCUCUUCCUCAGAUGUGAUACUUCUACAUCGGUUGAAAUCCCUUGUAUUGCUGCAGGAUAUUGAGAGAUUGAAGGAUGCUUUGAAACAGUUCCAAGAACAAUCUAUGAUGCCUCCUGAUCAUACCAAGAUAAUCACGUCUCUGUUUCACUACUGGAUUACAGAUAUCCUUCCUGUGAAGAACAGGAAAUAAACCCUUGCCUGUGUCCAUAUGCACUGGGUUAAAAUUUAAUAUACAAACUCUUAACCAAGUAGCAAUUGUUCAGGAAGAGCAGUGUCAAUGCACAUUCUACACCUUCAGUGCUUGGACAUUUCUUAUAAUAUUGAAGUGAAUUUUAAAAUUAUUCUGAAUUUCACAUAGCUGUAUACAGAAGAGCAGAUUUGGGUGUCCUUGACACAUGGAGAUAUUUUGUACUAUCAGUAGUCUAAUCUCAAUCUGUAAGUAAAAUUUCUCACGUCAAUAUACUUUGCUUGAAUUGGCUAAUAAUGGGGAAAAGAUUGCUUUCAGACUCUCUUCUUUUCGUUCACUAAAACCACUGUAAGAGCCUUAUAUUCUGUGUGUAGAAAUCAGCUGGUCAUAACAAAACAAGCCUGAGAACAGUUUCAGAGCGUAACUAGAGUCAAUGAUAUCUGAUGUCUUUGUAAAUGACCUGUGAUAGAAGCUGAAUCUUACACUUAUCAAACCUGCCACUAUUACACUAAGAGGGAUUAUAAAGAGCAGAGGAUAAAGUAAAAUCUGAGAUGUCGGGGAGUUUGGAAAAUUGGACCAAAUUCAAGCAGAUAAAUUGUAGAUUGUCACUGUGGAUAAAUGCAGUUGCAUAAGAGUGCAUUUGUUUCUGAAACAAAUGUACCAAACAGUGGUGUGCUGAACUGCAGUGUGCAUAUAAGGACACUUAGGCAAGACACAAAAGAACACAGCAGAAAGAUGUAGUUUAAAAGCAAAAGAAAUGGACAUUACUAGUCCUAUAAUAAUACCAAUUAGGCAGCGUACUAAAAAUGGCAAGGGGGAAGGUUUGUUUGGUUUGGUGUUUAACAUCCUAUUUGCAGUCAAAAAGAUUUCAAACACCAGAGUCUUAAUACCAGGCCACUUUUCUGUGCUUCCUCUCUCAAAGAAAUGGUGCUGAAUCUCCCUGCACUUUUUAUGGUUUAUUUGAGAAGUGAUAUAACCAUAAAGGCUGGGAUAUGAAAACUGAAAAAUUUAAAUUAAUAUCCACCAGUCAACACAGUGUGUUUUCCAUUUCACUAUACAUGGCUUCUUCAGCAUAGCAAUUAAACAUUUAUAACUUUGGAUUUUCAUGCUGAACUUCUAAAUGGCAAAGGAGAUAGCCUUACAGUUUUGCUUCUUCCGCAUUAUCCAGUCAUGAAUGUGCAGUGUCAUGUGGGUUUUCUGAGGCAUGGAAGAGGGGUUUUUAGUGGACUUUGCAUCAGAGAACUUCAGACUGAACUGCAUCAUGUACAUGCUAUUACCAGCAUAUUUCAAACUUCUGGGAAGACAGAAUUUUAAAAUCCUGGCUUUAAAACAUAGGUGGACUCUAACAGUAGGAACAAUGUAAGGAUCAGCUAGAAAGAAGCCUGCAUGUGGCUUCAAGAGUGCACUUUCUGAUUUGCAUAAUUAAGCAUUACACAGUAAGGAAGGAAUAGCGGCACAGUGGGAAAGAAAUCAGGCUCUGAGGAGAUGAUAGUUCCUUUACCUGGGCUGCAUACACAAAGACAACCGCAGAUGCUGAAGUUGUUUUGGGCAUCUGUAGUCAUGAAAUGCUUGUAUGUAAGGAUAUGAGUUCAAAGCCAUCUCUGUAAGUAGGUACACUGUGAGAAAUACCUUACUUCUUCUCUUUUGUGGAUAUGUAAUGUGGGAAUCAGUCCCUAAUGUUAAAGAUUUUUACUUCUUUGUAAGUGGUGCAAUAUUUCAUAUAGUAUUUUACAAUCAUGUAGAGUUAUAAAUUCCUUAAUGUGCUUCCCAUGACAGCUGGUUUUUCUCCCCUGCGCCAGUGCAGGGGGCUGCUGUUCAGUAGGCUGAAACUCUAAAAUGGCAUCUGGGAAAAAAAAAAAAAGACUUAAAAGACAAGGAAGUAAAAAACUGGUGAGUGGCAGCAUGAAGGCAGGAAAUGGUUAAGCUGUCUUUGAUCAAAGAAAACAUAUUUCACCCGGUACCAUCUGCUAUAUCAUAAAAGCAGUCCGCAGACAUAGAGUGGAAAGUGAUGUGUGUUAUGCUGGUACAGUAUGCUACAGGCUAAGUGUAAUAACAAAAAGUGGUAAUGAAAAAAACCUAGCAAAAUGUAACACUGGAAAAAUGCAUUCUAUUGAAUAUUUAGGCCAACCUGAGGUUAUGGCUAGGUAGAUUUUGUGAUUAAUUGCUUCAUCCGUAGAUUGCACCUAUGGAGAGCUGCGUUGCACAUGUUUGUGCAGUUAAUUUAGCUUCACUGGUAACUACUUUAUCCUCUGCAUUGCAUCUAAGUAAAUUUUGUUGAAUAGGCUAAUUAUAAAGUCUCAGUAUUUAGCAAUUUCAAUACAUGUUUUUCUUAGAUGAAAACAUUUGUAUUUUUACACUCCUAGAUAUAUGCUGAACUAAACCGUGGGGGGAAAACACUACAUAUAUAAAGUAUAAAAUAUAAAGAAAAAGCAGAAAAUUACAAAUGCUGCAUAUCUUUCCUAUCUCUUAACGAUCUAGGAAAAAACUAUAUAUUCUCUGGUCAUUUGAAAACAAUGUAUAUGCACCAGAGUCAGUCAAGGUCAUUCUUCAAGUGCGUGCUUAACUUUGUAGAAUUACUAGUUUGUAGUCAUUUUAAUGAGCUGUAUACAUUUGCAAAAUUUAUAAGCAAGCCGUAGCUCUGUUCUACAUUGCUACUGCAAUGCUACAUCCUGGUUUAGAAUACAGAAUAAAUAAAUUAAAAAAAAGUUAUUUUAGAUUGAAGAGGACUACACAAAAAUAGAGAAGGAAUGGAUCUGUGGUUCAAAAGCUUAUUUUGCAUCAACUCUAGGUUGCUAUAGGUUGCAUCAACUACAGACUGCUUUUCUUUACUUUCAAGGUCUUGGCCAGUCUUCUCAGUCCCUCAGUCAGUGCACAGGUGAUUCCUCCAUCCUCUCAGCCUGUGGGUGAAGACCAGUAACUUCAGUCUGACAAAAGCACAGUUUGUGGGUUUUGCUAAAGCAAGUCUUCUGCAGAGACAGGCAAGCAUAAUUUAAAGACAUCAAGAAAGGAAGACUUAGCCCCCUUCCCUGAUCAUCUAUUCCAGUACUCAGUCACUCUCAUGGUUAGAAAUACAUGCCUUGUUUUAAAUUUGAAUUUGUCUAGAUUUAACUUUCAGUCAUUAGUUCUUGGUGUGCUUUUUUUCAUCCACUAUUUCCUGUCCGUUUUGUGAAUGCUGCAGUCAGUCAUAGAACAGAACCAGCUAGGUUGGAGAAGACCUUUAAGGUCAAGUCCAACCAUUACCCCAGAACUGGCAACUCCACCACUAAACCAUGUCACUAAGGGCCUGACCUACCUGAUUUUCAAACACUUCCAGGGAUGGUGAUUCUACCACUUCACUGGGUAGCCUGUUCUAAUGCCUGACUACCCUUUCAGUGAAGAAAUUUUUCCUAAUACCCAAUAUAAACCUUCCCUGGCACAGCUUGAGACUGUUACCUCUUGUCCUGUCACUUGUUAAUUGGCAAAAGAGACCAGCCACCUCCUCUUUCCAUCCUCCUUUCAGGUAGUUGAAGAGAUCAAUAGGAUCGCCCAUGAGCCUUCUCUUGUCCAGACUGAGCACCACCAGUUCCGGCAGCUGUUCCUCAUAAGACUUGUGCUCUAGGCCCUUGACCAGCUAUAAUGUAACCUCCUUUUUGCUACCCUAAACCUUUACAGUUUUUUUAUUCAAGGCAUCUUCUACAGCUUCCAAAUUGAUGUUGUGGCUCUCUUGUACAUUCUGUCAUAAUUUUCCACACCACGUAGAGGUAAGUGUGCUGGAGCUACCCACAGAACUUCAUUUAAAAUCUCAGCAGUGUCAGCUUUCAUACUUUCUACGCCACUGUUUGUGGAUCCACUUUAUGCCAUAGGUUUCUAUAGGGAGUCCAUUUUGAAUUAUUUGUCACAUUAGACAAGUACUCUUGAAACUUUUUGCUUUCUAGGAUUUAUUCCCUGGUUCCAUACUUCUUGUUCUUUAAUGUCACUUUGUGUUUGACCAUAUUAAUGUUAAUUUUCUUUGCCUGUGUCUAGAUUAGUAAAUGGUGGAUUGUUUUGUGUGCCUGUACUGCUUUCAUUAGUAUUGACUGUCAUC